Molecule: ribosomal RNA, 774 nt
Filed under: uncultured Neocallimastigales
Lineage: Eukaryota; Fungi; Neocallimastigomycota; Neocallimastigomycetes; Neocallimastigales
Description: partial large subunit ribosomal RNA
Rfam family: Eukaryotic large subunit ribosomal RNA
Source: RNAcentral
UACUAGAGUAGCACUCGCAUAUCAAUAAGCGGAGGAAAAGAAACUAACAAGGAUUCCCCUAGUAACGGCGAGUGAAGCGGGAAGAGCUCAAAUUUGAAAUCUUAAAGGGUUUCCCUUUACGAAUUGUAGUUUAAAGAAGUGUUUUCUGUUGAGGUUUUGGUAAAAGUUCUUUGGAAUAGGACAUCAUAGAGGGUGAGAAUCCCGUAUUUGACCUUUACUUUCAACUUUGUGAUACACCUUCAAAGAGUCGGAUUGUUUGGGAAUGCAGUCCAAAAUGGGUGGUAAAUUUCAUCUAAAGCUAAAUAUUGGCGAGAGACCGAUAGCGAACAAGUACCGUGAGGGAAAGAUGAAAAGAACUUUGAAAAGAGAGUUAAACAGUACGUGAAAUUGUCAAAAGGGAAGCGUUUGACACCAGUGUUGUUUUUCUGAAAAUCAAUUAAAGAACUGUUUAUGCUAAGUUGUUUAGACUUUAUCAGCUAUCUGUUUAGUUUUGAGCUUUUCUUUAAUGCACUUUUCAGUUAACAAGUCAACAUCAAUUUCUUUUGCUGUAAAAAAGCUUGAGGAAGGUGGCUUGAGAUUCGUCUUAAGUGUUUAUAGCCUCUUGCCUAUGCAGUCGGAGAGACUGAGGUCUGCAGCGUAGAUCCUUCGGGGCUAAAUGCAUUUGUGCUAAGUUAUAGCAUUUUAUAGACAACUUGUUGACUAUGAUUUGUCUUGUAGCUUACUCGCUUAUGUUAUUUUACCUACGCUUAGGAUGUUGAACUCUAUCACACACAG